GUGCUUGAUUCAGCAGGACAUAUACUAAAGUUGGUCCGAUACAGAGAACAGCAUGGCCCCUGCUCAUGAGUGAUAGGAUAGGCAAAUUCAUCCAUAUUUUU
Molecule: small nuclear RNA, 101 nt
Organism: Rattus norvegicus (Norway rat)
Lineage: Eukaryota; Metazoa; Chordata; Mammalia; Rodentia; Muridae
Source: Ensembl